Molecule: long non-coding RNA, 463 nt
Organism: Phyllopteryx taeniolatus (common seadragon)
Lineage: Eukaryota; Metazoa; Chordata; Actinopteri; Syngnathiformes; Syngnathidae
Exons: 3
Source: RefSeq, a predicted model, not a curated record
CUGCCUUUUCCUGGUAGGUACGUACCAUUAUUUUGUUGACGCCAGAAUCCGAGAGAAUCCCUUUCUUGUUGAGUUCAUCUAACUAAGCUUUACCUGUAUCCGACUCUUUCAGGCGGACCCAUUCGCUAUGCGAGCCAAGUGGAGAAAGAAGCGCAUGCGCAGAUUGAAGCGCAAAAGGAGAAAGAUGAGACAGAGGUCAAAAUAAGCUGUCCGCUGGAAGCCAACCGGUAACCAGCAGGAUCGAUUGAUCGAUCGAUCGAUCGAUGGAUGGAUGAAAGGAUGGAAGGAUGGAGUGAGAGUCCAGCAGGGGAGCCCUCAGGUGGAAGUCUGGCAUCUGCGUGUAAUCAACGGGCUGAGUCAACGCCUGCAGGUUGAAGGACUUCUCCUGACUUUUCUGGACUCUUAUUGUUUGUUCCCUCAUCGUUUUUCUAUGCUUAUUAAAUGAUUGGGUGUUUAAACAAUU